UGAUAGUUGAUGUGUAUCUCUUGGAGAAAUUUUUGUUCAAAAAAAUGUAGUUUGAAAAGCUAUUUGUGACAUAAGAACUUUCAUAUUCCAAUUUGGCUGAAUAUAAAUGAAAAUGAAACAUCUCCAAGCUCAAUUCUUUGAAUAUAAAUGAAAAUAGUAUGCCUCUUUUUUCGUUUUUUUUUUUGGCUAUGUAAGGUUUAGUUAUGAUUGUUAAAUUGAUUUAUGAAGGUAGGCUGUCAAUCUCAUUGUAACUUUGUCUUGAACAGGAAAAACAUACCGUCUAUGGGUGCAUAAUGUCGGUAUCUCAACUAAUUUUGACAGGAAAUCACUACAGUAGUUAGUUGUGUGAGCGAAAAGCAAUAAUUUGAUUCAAAGUUUCGAUUUUGAAUUUUUCUUGCAAACGUUUCAUCUGGGUAUCAGUAUAAUUUCGAUUUUAGUCACCAUAAUUGCUUAAUAUGGUUUUUUAUUUUCUGGGUUAUUGAUCUCUUAUGUAAUUGAAGUUAAUUUUAUUGCUUCUGGACUUAUAUUUAUGUGAAUUUCCAUUUAUUAAUGCAACAUUUUGAUUCAUAUCUUGUUAAUGAAUUUUCAUAAUUUAAUCCGAUAAAAAUCAAUUUUUUAGCCGGAGUUUAUACUGCUUUUAUUCAUAUUGUUUCUGAUAGUUUUUAGUAAAUUCUCUUACAUGGUUAAAUUGUGUCUACUGACUGCAUAGUCAAUGCAUUACUUUAUAAGACCACUCAAGAUAGUUUUAUAUGUAGUUAAGGAGUCUAAUUAGUUAGCAUCAGGAUUAGGACUCCUAGUGAGACUAAUUAGGCUCUUGGGUUUUCAUUAAAAUUUUCAACCUUUAUUUUUAAUACUUGUGCUCUGUAACUGUAAAUUUUCUAUAUAUAUAGGGAGCUUUGGACGAUGAACUAUCCACAGCAGAGAGCCAGCCAAAACCUUAGACACAGUAUUAAGAUGGGUUGGACUUUAGGGAGGGCACCUGUAUAUGAUGUUAAUAUGUAACUUGCUUCAUUGACUUUGCAGUAUUUCAACGGAUAUGGGUAUCAUGGAACCUCAUUUGAGCAGACAUAUCGAUGUUACCCUUCAUCCUUUAUCGAUAAGGAUAAUUGGCCUUCUGUGAUGUUUGCAAUGGCAGGAGGGGUGGUACUUGGCCUUGGAAAUCUCUCAACUCAGUAUGCUUGGGCUAUAGUUGGCUUAUCAGUCACAGAAGUGAUCACUGCAAGCAUAACAGUUGUUAUAGGUCCUUUCUUUCAUUCUCUCUCUCUCUCUGACCAUUUCUAAAUAUUGAUGUUUGUCUGUGUUGCUCUUAUAGAUACUGAAUUUUUUGCUUCUAUUGCGAUCUUUAAUGGUGACAGAAACAACCUAGAAUUACUUUUUAGACAAUAGAAUUAAUAGAACCGAGAUCCUUUUCCCUGGCGUUGGUUGCUUCUUGGUUGUAGUUUGCCUUGCUUCUACUGUCCACUCAUCUAAUGCAGCUGAUAAUAAAGAAAAACUUGAAGGUUUUUCAUCUAAAGAGGGGUGUUUGGGAAAAGCACUCUCAUUGGACUGUCCAUAUGUUUCUUUGCUGGUGUUUGCUUUUCUCUAUUCUCACCAACAUUCAACUUGGCAACAAAUGAUCAAUGGCAUACAUUGAAAGAUGGGGUUCCUCACUUGGUUUUCUACACUGCAUUCUUUUACUUCUCAGUAUCUUGUUUUGUCCUUGCUAUAAUCCUCACAUCACAUUCCUUUACUACCCUGUGCUGGACUUACCGAAAUCAUCAUUCAA
This is a long non-coding RNA of Humulus lupulus (European hop), 1765 nucleotides long. RefSeq lists it as uncharacterized. The transcript has 4 exons. The record is from RefSeq and is a predicted model, not a curated record. Lineage: Eukaryota; Viridiplantae; Streptophyta; Magnoliopsida; Rosales; Cannabaceae.